RNAcentral lists this long non-coding RNA (672 nucleotides) under Mytilus galloprovincialis (Mediterranean mussel). The record is from RNAcentral. Lineage: Eukaryota; Metazoa; Mollusca; Bivalvia; Mytilida; Mytilidae.
GAAAUACUAAUCUGUGUUACAAACAGGUGCUGAAAAAUGUACAUUAUCAGAAAAUAAUCAUUAAAUGUGUUUUAAAGUUACACCGGAUCGAUUAAAUCCAAAACAUGCACUGCCCGUGACCUGUGAUCAAAAUGUCAAUUUCCUACAAUGACAAAAGAAAUUACAUUGUGUGCAUUCCGUCUCUAUACAUGUUGUCUGUUCAACGUCCCCACCUAAAAAGAAAUAAAAAGACUAAGUUUUCGUUAUUAUAAACCCGUGUCACGUGAUGUCGCGCGCGCUGUACCUAAAAUAAAAGAAACACUUUCCAAACUAAACAUGAAACUUCUCCGGUAACACAAUACUAUAGACCCCUUCAAACAAACAAACAAACAAACAAACAAACAAACAAACAAACAAAACAACACACACACACACACACACACACACACAUCAAUCAAUCAUCUUUUUAAGGGGGUGAAAGACCGUUCACAAUUGCUUUUUAAAAGCAAUUGAUUUAUAUUUAUUAUUUUUUUUCUUCCGCCAACAUUUUUUUUCCUUCGCUGUUUUUUUGUUUCGCAAGAUGUCGCUUAGAUAAAUGAAAUAUGAUAUCGAACAGUUUAUGCGCUUUUGAAACUGACACCGCGAAACCCAAUACUUUCCCAUAUAAGAGUUAUCUCCCCGAACACUGUUUUU